AAAUCUCUGUUCUUGGAUCCUCAGCCCCAGGGGGAAAUGGGGGGGACUGUGGUCCCAAAAAUGAGAAACUGAACUGUUGUCUUUGGUCCUUGGCAAAGCAUCCUUGAAAAGAAACCCUAUGAGCGGUCUGUCCAUGCAUGGUGGUGAGGGCACUGUGCAUGGAAAGGAGAGUGUCACCAUGGCAGAUUUUCUCUGGGCAGUGCCAUGUGUGACAUGGAAACACAAGAAUUGGCAGCUGUGUUUCUUGGGGGGUCUGUGGAACAGGAGACUCCUCUCUCCCUUGAUGGACUGCGUAUUGAUUAUCUGAAGGGUGGGAACUUGAGUGAGGGUCUGAACUGUGUCUCACUGUGGUUUGUUGGAAUUGUGGUGGGGAGGAGGAAUGUUUUGGAAGGUUUUCAUUCUGGAUUUAGUGUGUGUGUGUUUUUCAUAGCAGUAGUUUAAUAAAGUUUUUUUCCUUUGUCAUUAAGCUUGGGCCUGCUCUGCUGUGUUCCUGAUAGCAUCUCACAGCAUUUAUUUGGGAAGAUGCAUUUUCAUGGGGGCACUGGCAUUGUGCCAGUGUCAAACCAUGACAACAUUCUUCAUUGUCCAGAAUCUCAGGAGGUGGUCAAUGACUCAGAGCCACAGGCCCCUAAACAUGGAAAAGGAAACAGUAGUUUCUUUGGAAUAUGCAUCAAAUCCAAGUUUCAGGGCAAGAUCGGGAUAAGUGUGUGGUGCUGGUACAAUUUCUCCUUCCAAAACCUAGGGGGAAAGCUUUUUGCUAAGAUUUAGAUGACUAGAGACUCCAGAGCUGUCCAAAGGGAAGUGCUGCUCCCCGGUGUAUUUCGGCAGAAGCAGCCCUCUGGAGCGUACAGCUGCCGCUCCAGUCGUCUGUGCGUGAAGUAGUCGCUUUUCGCCACUGGGAGCCCAAGAGCGCGGUAGCUGGUAAGAGGCGAAGAACGAAACUGCAAAGAAGUGGGCAUGUGUGCUCAGCCUUCAGACUGCUAGACAACAGUGACUGCAUCUUUCCUGCCUCUUCAAUUCACUGUUAGCAUGCGUAUAGAAGGCAUUCCAGGACAUCUUUCCUGGGUUUUUACUCCAUCCUAAUACAGCCCUCCUCGGAAAUUCUUGCUCGUCCCCUGAGGCUGUGAGAUGCAGAGAACUUGAUGGCAGCUGCAGGAACGAAGGGCCGCAGUGAGUUUGUCAAGAAGCAAAACCUAGCCAGCAGCUUGUUCGUGAGAAUGAUCAGCUGCUGGAUUUUUGCAAUUGCCUUUACAAUUCUGCCUACGCAGAGAAGCCCAGUGGUUUGCUGCUUCAUUCUUUUGCUUGUGUGAAUUGCACAGUACUGAAGCUGAGCCAGGCUAAUCAGCUUUGCCGCUUUUUAGCAUCUGUGCUCCACCCAUGGAAAAAGCUGCUUUUAAGGGGAGGCUGGAAUAAUGGAAGAAUCCCAGGCCCUCCUAGCAUGUUCCCACUCACUCCCAGUUGCCCCCAGUUCGGUCCCAGUUCUCUGCUGCACGGUCCCGAUUGUUCCCAAUGUGGUUCCAGUCCCCCCCAGUAUGGUUACAAAUGCUACCCGUAGAUCCCAAUUGCCCCCAGCAUGUCUAUAAUCAUUUCCAGGCACUACCAGUGGCUCCAGUAAGGUGUUAGUUAUCCCAGUAUGAUCCCCCAGUCAUGGCCAGAAUAUCCCAGUUGCCUGAAGCAUGCAUCCAGUCAUUCCCAGAUCCUGCAACUGGCGUGCAGCAUGAUCCCAGUUUCUCUCAGUUGCUCCAAGUAGCCCAAAGUAUGAGCCCAGUUGUUGCCCUGAUUUUUAAAAUUGUUGAGUUUUCUUUUAUAGUUCUUUGGAAAGUUGUAAAGUUCUCAUGAAACUUAUUUAGCCUUCUGAUAAGAUUUUCAUAUUUGAGAGUCAGAGGUCCCACACCCUUUCAUGUAGAAAUAGAAUAGUUUGCAUCUUUCUCUAUGAGUGGAGAGAAAUGAUUGAAUGGUCUUUGGACCAGUGUGGUUGGAGAGGUAGUAAUUCCAUCCUCCAAUCCACAGUCAACUUUGGAAUUCUAGAAAUACCAGAUGUUGGAAUAAAACUGACUCUUUUUCUCUUUUGAACGUCCCAAGCUGCUGUCCCUCCUUUCUUGUCCAAUAGCGACAUCUGUUGGCACCGGGUGUGAAUGACACCUGUGGGUGACAUCUUGAUUAACCCUCUCUCUCCCGGCCCUGACUGCAGCCCUUGUGGGCAUGUCUGCUUCUAUGGGGCCUGGUGGCAGCUGUGAACAGAGGCAGCCUAGAGGAGCAGAGCCCUGUGUCCCCCCAGGAGCCCAAAGCGGGUGGCACAGAAAGGGCGGGAGCGCUGCCAUUGGCAGGACACUCAACAGCCUGGAGAGGGGAAGGGGGGGGACUCCUUGGAGUCCCUGCAGCCCAAAGCAGAGAAGAAGGGGAAGCCCAAAAAUCCCUGGCAUCCCUAAACAGGGAGACGCAAGAGAGGGGAGCUUUUUGCAUUCUUGGGACUUCCAGCAGCCUGGGGAGGGCAGGGACCAAGGAGCAGGGAGAUCCUGAGUAUAUGUGUGACCCCCAGCAGCUGGGACAGGGGGAAGCCCAAACACCAAAGGGGAGGGACCAGGGAUGGAGAACUCCGGGGAGGCUUUUCCAGGGCUGAAUCUUGGUAUUCGGGAGGUUUUAGUGACCCCAGAUGGCCGGUGACUUCCAGAGAUGGACUUGGGCAGAGGGACCUUCCAAGUCAACGUGCUUAUCCCUUCUUUUCCCCAAACCAGGAUUUCCCAUUCCCAAGCCCUUGGAGGCUGCGAGGAAGAGGAAGAUGCCCCGGGACACCCAGGCAGGAGCUGAGGAUGGAGACCAGAGAGGACAAAUCCACAUGGCAGAACCUUCUGGAAGAGGCCAUUUUGAGAGGCUCCACAGCACAGGAGCCAACGGGGCGGAAAAGCCCUGGAGAUCCUGCACAAGGAGGGGCUGCAAAGGCAGAUUGUGGGGAUCUCAGGAGGAAAGACCCACUGUCCUGGUUUAGGGCAAAUUUGGGAGAAAACCUCCAGGAGGAGCCCCCCCUGCCCCAGACAGCAAACCCCCACAGGCCCUUCCCCAACCUGGUUCAGGAAGAAUUUCCUUGGAGAGAAGUGGAAAACAAAAACCCUGUUUUUUAACAGACAGAAACAGUCCCCAGCACCAAAAAUGAACAAUAUCAGAGUACAAAAACCCUUUCACCGCUCUGAAGAGAUGACAAAUUCAGAAAGUCUCUCAUGGGAGUGGUCACUCAGUUCUCUGUCUCUUGCACUGGGGAUGGCUGCUGCAGGUCACAAAAUGCAGGCUGUUGGUGUCUCUUG
This is a long non-coding RNA of Taeniopygia guttata (zebra finch), 3299 nucleotides long. The record is from Ensembl. Lineage: Eukaryota; Metazoa; Chordata; Aves; Passeriformes; Estrildidae.